ACGUAGGGGGCAAGCGUUGUCCGGAAUCAUUGGGCGUAAAGCGCGUGUAGGCGGCCCGGUAAGUCCGCUGUGAAAGUCGGGGGCUCAACCCUCGAAUGCCGGUGGAUACUGUCGGGCUAGAGUGCGGGAGAGGCGAGUGGAAUUCCUGGUGUAGCGGUGAAAUGCGCAGAUAUCAGGAAGAAUACCCGUGGCGAAGGCGGCUCUCUGGGACGGUACUGACGCUGAGACGCGAAAGCGUGGGGAGCGAACAGG
RNAcentral lists this ribosomal RNA (252 nucleotides) under uncultured bacterium. Its description in RNAcentral is "partial 16S ribosomal RNA". It matches the Rfam family "Bacterial small subunit ribosomal RNA", at positions 525 to 776 of the family's 1533-position model. The record is from RNAcentral.